RNAcentral lists this ribosomal RNA (408 nucleotides) under uncultured bacterium. RNAcentral's name for it is "partial 16S ribosomal RNA". It matches the Rfam family "Bacterial small subunit ribosomal RNA", at positions 28 to 526 of the family's 1533-position model. The record is from RNAcentral.
GACGAACGCUGGCGGCGUGCUUAACACAUGCAAGUCGAAGAUAGUGGCGAACGGGUGAGUAAUACGUGGGUAACCUGCCCUCCUUUUUGGGAUAAGCCUUGGAAACGGGGUCUAAUACCGACUAAAGGGGGAUGGGCUCGCGGCCUAUCAGCUUGUUGGUGGGGUGCUGGGCUACCAAGGCGGUGACGGGUAGCCGGCCUGAGAGGGUGACCUGCCACAGUGGUACGGAGAUACGGCCCAGGCGCGUACGGGGGGGGGCAGUUGGGGAAAUUGCACAAUGGGCGAUAGACUGAUGCAGCGUGGCCGCGUGGGGGAUGAGGGCUUUCGAGUUGUAUACCUCUUGCGCAAGCGAGUGGGUAGGUGGAGAAGAAGCGCCGGCUAACUACGUGCCAGCAGCCGCGGUAAUAC